This 501-nucleotide ribosomal RNA is filed under the name uncultured bacterium. RNAcentral describes it as "partial 16S ribosomal RNA". It matches the Rfam family "Bacterial small subunit ribosomal RNA", at positions 30 to 523 of the family's 1533-position model. The record is from RNAcentral.
AUUGAACGCUGGCGGCAUGCCUAACACAUGCAAGUCGAACGUGAAAGAGGGGCAACUCUCGAGUAAAGUGGCGGACGGGUGAGUAAUACGUAGGAAUCUGCCCUAGAGUGGGGGAUAACCUGCCGAAAGGCGGGCUAAUACCGCAUAAUCUCUAUGGAGAAAAGGUGUCCCGGUCAAACGGGAUUUCGCUUUAGGAUGAGCCGACGUCGGAUUAGCUAGUUGGUAGGGUAAAAGCCUACCAAGGCGACAAUCCGUAGCUGGUCUGAGAGGACGAUCAGCCACACUGGAACUGAGACACGGUCCAGACUCCUACGGGAGGCAGCAGUGGGGAAUAUUGGACAAUGGGGGAAACCCUGAUCCAGCAAUGCCGCGUGUGCGAUGAAGGCCUGCGGGUUGUAAAGCACUUUCGGUGAGGAAGAAACGCUCAAAUAUAAUACAUUUGAGAACUGACGUUACUCACAGAAGAAGCACCGGCAAACUCUGUGCCAGCCGCCGCCGUAA